AAAUGAGGAUAUAAGCACAGCCAGGAAAACACCAUAGAAAAAAAUUAGAAAUGAGUGUUAGCAAAUGCUAAAAUUCUUUAACUAAAACUAAGUAGCCCUGGCCCUUGAUAAAAACAUAGGCAGGUAGGAUUGAGUGGAAAUUCUAGAAAUAAAUCUAAGUUAAUAUGGAACUUUAGGGUAUUAUUCAUAUCUUUAGGAACUUUAGGGUAUUAUUCAUAUUUAGGGCAUGUUCAUGUUUUUGUAUCUAUUUCUAAGUCUCCUGCCAAAACCAAAAAUCUGUCAUUUCUGGAAUCCUCUCCCACAACAUUGUCCUGGCAGGUGCCUCUUGAUUUCAUUCUAUGCUUCCAGAUAUCAAUUUUAUUCUAUACCAACACUCUCUGAUCCAACUUUAUGUACUGAUGGAAAUGAUCUUAAUCUGUCCUCUCCAAGGGGCAGCCAUUAGCCAUUAGCCACAUAUGGCUAUUGGACCUUUCAAACAGGGUUAGUUUGACUUAGGAACUUAUUUUACAGUUCUAUUUAAUUUUAAUUCAUUUGUGUGCAAAUAGCCACAUGAGGCUAGUGGGGAUCUGUUGAGAUAAUUCUUCUAUAUGCACUGGCUUCCCCCGAACAGGUCCAAGUCUGUUUACACCAGUAUCUGUGGUGUUGCAUGAGGGAUGACUGGUUUUAUCUUUCCAGGCCUUAUUAAUUCUAUUACAGAUGUUUGGGAGGAGGAGGGCUGGUUACACCCCGAGGUUAACCUCCAAAUAGAUGACCGAAGGCUCCAGUCCUUUCCCUGGAUGCUUAAAAUGGCUUGGCGCUGGUCAGACAAGAUUGCAAAAAUUCACUCUGAACCUCAGAGUGUUGUUCUUGUACAACAUUCUUGCAUUGACCUCCGUGGCCUGAUGAAAGCUGCUCACCUUCUCGGAGGUUAACCCCUUGAUCUGCAUGAAGAGGAAGCACUGCAUUGUGUAAGUGGGGUUGGGGUUGCGGGUGGUGGUGCUACGGUCUAACACGAGUAAACAUCAACAGAGGUCAAUUUCCUCCUAGUGUCUUCUCCCACAGGGCUCCACCGUAAAGAACACAAUUGCUGCAGGAGAUUCUAGAAAUCACCAUCGAAUUAGGAAAUGGAGCAUGAGAUAUGCAAAGACAAAAAUGAUACCAGCAACAGACUAAAAAAGCAGAUGACAAAAGCCUGCGCACACCUGCCCCAUGCUCGGGCACCACCUUGGAAACUAGUACUUGUUGCCGAAACUCAGAGAUGCAGCCAUCAGUACUGUGCUGAGUUCCCCCUUCUCACAAUGUGGUUCCAGUAUUUGCUUUUCAGUUAAUUAAAAGCAUUACCAGAGUGGUGAAGGACCUAUUCAAGCAAAUGAUUGCAACCACUUUGAAUAAAAAAUAAUGAGUUCAACAUCAUUUUAUCUAGUAGAAGGAUAAGUUCUUUGCUGUCAAGUGUUCAGAAUGGCCUACAUUAGUGUCUCUUGCAAUAUGCUGCUCUGGCCCAGCUCGAAUUUCAACUCAAAAUAUACAUGUGAGUGUUUGCAUCUCUGACUUUUCACCAGUGAAUCCCUGAUGGCAAACAGCUUUCUUCCCUCUGCUUCCCCCAUUCUGUUUGGGUGCUCUUUGAACUUCACUAUGUCCUCCCUUAGCGAUCAUAAGAGACGUCUGACUGUGACACAAAGACCUUUGAAAUCACACAUUAGAGACAAUGACACAUAAAGUCGGUUAUGAGAACUAGCGUGGUGUAGAAAUACAUUAUCAAUGCACACAUCAGAUAUUUGCUUAGAAGAAAGCUUUCUAAACUGGUGCAUUUGAAGAUUCAUUUUGUUCAUGUCUGACUGCUUAUGAUUUAUAAUAGUAAAGCUUCUUUCUAUCUCUCUCUUUUAACUGCUGCACUGAAAUUUACAUAAGUAAAUAUGUACUGUACAAAACUUUGUGUAUGGUUCAGGGCAAUUUUACCUCUGUAGAACAUUUGGGUUGAUCUACAACUUUGCCUACCAGGAAAUGGUUUUAAGUGUGAUAUUUUA
Molecule: long non-coding RNA, 2003 nt
Filed under: Chinchilla lanigera (long-tailed chinchilla)
Lineage: Eukaryota; Metazoa; Chordata; Mammalia; Rodentia; Chinchillidae
Description: lncRNA (ENSCLAG00000028898.1)
Source: RNAcentral